RNAcentral lists this ribosomal RNA (387 nucleotides) under Cyprinodon tularosa. RNAcentral describes it as "partial 12S ribosomal RNA". It matches the Rfam family "Bacterial small subunit ribosomal RNA", at positions 795 to 1386 of the family's 1533-position model. The record is from RNAcentral. Lineage: Eukaryota; Metazoa; Chordata; Actinopteri; Cyprinodontiformes; Cyprinodontidae.
CACAGCCCUAAACUUCGAUAACAUCUUACAACUGUUAUCCGCCCGGGAACUACGAGCAUUAGCUUAAAACCCAAAGGACUUGGCGGUGCUUUAGAUCCCUCUAGAGGAGCCUGUUCUAGAACCGAUAACCCCCGUUAAACCUCACCUUCUCUUGUUCUCCCCGCCUAUAUACCGCCGUCGUCAGCAUGCCCUGUGAAGGAAUUAUAGUAAGCAAAAUUGGUAAAGCCCAAAACGCCAGGUCGAGGUGUAGCAUAUGAGAAGGGAAGAAAUGGGCUACAUUUCCUCAUGGAGGAAAUACAAAUUGUGCCAUGCAACAGCACAUGAAGGAGGAUUUAGUAGUAAGCAGGAAGCAGAGUGUCCUGCUGAACCCGGCCCUGAAGCGCGCAC